UACGUAGGUGACCAGCGUUGUCCGGAUUUACUGGGCGUAAAGAGCGCGCAGGCGGUCGUUCAAGUCGAGUGUGAAAGCCCCCGGCUCAACUGGGGAGGGUCAUUCGAUACUGAUCGACUGGAAGGCAGGAGAGGGAAGCGGAAUUCCCGGUGUAGUGGUGAAAUGCGUAGAUAUCGGGAGGAACACCAGUGGCGAAAGCGGCCACCUGGACUGCACCUGACGCUGAAACGCGAAAGCUAGGGGAGCGAACGGG
RNAcentral lists this ribosomal RNA (253 nucleotides) under uncultured bacterium. Its description in RNAcentral is "partial 16S ribosomal RNA". It matches the Rfam family "Bacterial small subunit ribosomal RNA", at positions 524 to 776 of the family's 1533-position model. The record is from RNAcentral.